Molecule: unclassified non-coding RNA, 329 nt
Filed under: soil metagenome
Description: partial contains 5.8S ribosomal RNA, internal transcribed spacer 2, and large subunit ribosomal RNA
Rfam family: 5.8S ribosomal RNA (bases 1-120)
Source: RNAcentral
GAUGAAGAACGCAGCGAAAUGCGAUAAGUAGUGUGAAUUGCAGAAUUCAGUGAAUCAUCGAAUCUUUGAACGCACAUUGCGCCCCCUGGCAUUCCGGGGGGCAUGCCUGUCCGAGCGUCAUUACAACCCUCAAGCUCAGCUUGGUGUUGGGCCCCGCCGCCCCGGCGGGCCCUAAAGUCAGUGGCGGUGCCGUCCGGCUCCGAGCGUAGUAAUUCUUCUCGCUCUGGAGGUCCGGUCGCGUGCUCGCCAGCAACCCCCAAUUUUUUUCAGGUUGACCUCGGAUCAGGUAGGGAUACCCGCUGAACUUAAGCAUAUCAAUAAGCGGAGGA